AAGACCACGAUGAGAAAGAAGAGUAGUCUGAACUGAACUGACAGCGAGUCCCGGUUGGUGUGAGGGGAUGAGGGAAGUUGAGAUGAAAAUCCCUUUCGAGUGUUGGCCCGAACAUAGUAGGGUCCAUUGGGAACGCCCAUUAUAGCGUUAGCGUAUCGCUCAAAGUAUGACUUAGGGCCGUACGUGAAAGGUAACUGCAGCGAUGUGGUUAUGAAUGCAGGGUGGUACCACGCACAAGAGGCGUCCUUGAA
This 251-nucleotide non-coding RNA is filed under the name Ligilactobacillus saerimneri. RNAcentral describes it as "Lactobacillus saerimneri T-box sequence". It matches the Rfam family "T-box leader". Rfam says of the family: Uncharged tRNA acts as the effector for transcription antitermination of genes in the T-box leader family. Lineage: Bacteria; Bacillati; Bacillota; Bacilli; Lactobacillales; Lactobacillaceae. The record is from RNAcentral.